AAUGUGAGCUCCCUCUAUCUAAGUUUGGCCUUCUUCCCUGGUUUAUUGAAUUAUUGUGGUAUGUUUCCUGUCGAGGAUUAAGUUCUUUAUCAAAUUUUGAAUGGAUGAAUUCUCAUGUACUUAACAACACAAAUAAUAGAAUCUUUUGUUUUGUGAUUUACGAUCCAUUUGCCUUGUCAAUUUCUUUUCCCUAUUUUUUGUGAUUGCUGUCGAGUUCAGAUAUCGGGAAAGUUCAUUUAGUCGUUACUUCUCUGAUAUUGAUCAGAUGUUCGCAUCAAUUACUCUUUAUUGAUCAGAGUCUGGUCUGAGUAAUUAUAUGAUUGUUUCUUUCCAGUAGUUUGGGUGUAAUUCAUUACCCACCCUGUGUAUUCACCUGGUUCAUUAUCUCAUUUAUCUCUUUUGGCAAUAUGAUUGUUUCUUUCCAGUUGUUUGGGUGUAAUUCAUUCCCCACCCCGUGUAUUCACCUGGCUUAUUAUCUCAUUUAUCUCUUUUGGCAUUAUGAUGCUUGAUGUGCUCCUUUAAACUUUAUUCUUAUUUAUAGAAACCUAAGAGAUUCUAAUAUUCUGAGCUCUCUCUGACAUCUCCGUCCAUUUGGAGAGAUUUUCUUCUGUGCUGGUGGUUGGUUUUUGUAAGUGCAGGAUC
RNAcentral lists this long non-coding RNA (642 nucleotides) under Capsicum annuum. RNAcentral's name for it is "long non-coding RNA (CANN_LNC003036)". Lineage: Eukaryota; Viridiplantae; Streptophyta; Magnoliopsida; Solanales; Solanaceae. The record is from RNAcentral.